GAGUGGCAUCCUCCAUUUCCUCUUCACUGAAGCUGGUGGAAGGGUGUGUUGACGGCCUUUGGGGCUCUCGGUGGGCAACGGUGGAUUUGGGUCAUCGCAGAGGGCCUGUGGGGCCAGCCUCCCUCCUCUCCAUAUCUCCCUCCCCCAGGUCCCAGCUAUGUCUGACUCAUUGGCCCCUCAUCCCACCCUUCCACACAUGACAGAGCUGACAGAUGGAUGGGGCCCCCCACUGUGGGUAACCGGAUCAACCUGUAUUUCUAGAUUCAGAGUCAACGCAGGUAUGGACACAGCCCUGGCACCGAGCUAGGUAUCUCACCUCUACUGACUCUGGUGACCCUUGUCGGACUCUGCGAAGUGCCGUGUAUUAUCUCCACUUUGCAUUCAAGGAGACUGAGGUGCAGACGGUUGAAGCUGCUGGCUCGGGACAAAGGGCAGAGCUGGUGUUUUCCCACACAGCCACCCGGGGCCCCACCCUGGCCCUCGCCCCCCUCCUCUGCCCUUACAUGAUACUCACCCUGUAGAGGCCCUGAGUGCUGGCAAGCCUGGCCUCUCCGAGCAGUGGUGAGCCCUCAGGAGGACAGCCAGGCUCCAGGCCGGGCAUGGGGGCAGAGUGGUCUCACCGGGGUGGGGGGCCCGGACCAAUCAGCCAGGAGCUGAUACUUUCCAGCUGUCCUCACGAUGCAGGGGGCAGGAUCAAAGACUGUCGCAGCCGCUGAAGAGGGGCACCUCCAUCUGUGCCCGUGUCCCUGUGAUGCCACCAGCAUCAGAGAAACCUUCCGUCAUCUUCCGGGAGCAAGAAACAGCCCUCCUGCGACACUCACUGCCUGGACACCCUUCUCCUGCUUCACAGAAACAGGACCCAGUCUUGCCUGAAGCUACCCACUGCCAGGCCACAAAAAGCCUUGAACGUGAGCACGGCCACCAGGCGCCGGAAAGCCUCGGCUGCUCCGAAUCAGAAGCCGCUCGCAGAUUUACCGUCAGGUGUUCGUUGUCAGACUUCGUUUCAGGCUAAGGAAGGUCUUGUGCCAGUGUUUGAGCCCCGGCCAGAUCUCCAGGUGCCCCGGGUGGUGUAAGACCUGCCGCUGACUUAUUCUGCAAACCCCUGAGCCUCCUGCUUCCGUUUUCUCCGCUGCAAGAGGUGGAGGCUGAUUUUGGUGAGAGGUCAUCAAAACCGGGCUGAAGAAACCUUAGGAUUCUACAGACGUAAGAGGACUUUUGCCAAGCAAACUACUUUGCCUGGAGAAAACGCAUUGAUUUUUUUUUUUAAGUCAGACAUGUUAAAGCUCUGGGUAAGAUUUUUUGCUUGAGAAAAAAAUAAAGAUGAU
This 1325-nucleotide long non-coding RNA is filed under the name Ursus maritimus (polar bear). RNAcentral's name for it is "lncRNA (ENSUMAG00000023073.1)". Lineage: Eukaryota; Metazoa; Chordata; Mammalia; Carnivora; Ursidae. The record is from RNAcentral.